This 374-nucleotide ribosomal RNA is filed under the name Polynoidae sp. USNM IZ 1449552. RNAcentral describes it as "SSU rRNA". It matches the Rfam family "Eukaryotic small subunit ribosomal RNA", at positions 54 to 411 of the family's 1831-position model. The record is from RNAcentral. Lineage: Eukaryota; Metazoa; Annelida; Polychaeta; Phyllodocida; Polynoidae.
CAUGUGUGAGUACAGACUGUACAACGGUGAAACUGCGAAUGGCUCAUUAGAUCAGUUAUGGUUCCUUAGAUCGUACAAUCCUACUUGGAUAACUGUGGCAAUUCUAGAGCUAAUACAUGCUGACAACGUCCGACCUCGCGGGAGGACUGCUUUUAUUAGAUCAAAACCAAUCGGGUGCAGUCGUUCGCGGCGGCCCGUCGUUUUGGUGACUCUGGAUAACUUUGUGCCGAUCGCACGGCCUUCGAGCCGGCGACGAGUCUUUCAAAUGUCUGACCUAUCAAAUGUCGAUGGUAAGUGACCUGCUUACCAUGUUAGUAACGGGUAACGGGGAAUCAGGGUUCGAUUCCGGAGAGGGAGCAUGAGAAACGGCUACC